UGAGAAGCUGCUAUAGCAUAGUGUGCUGCUCAAUUGUUUUAAUUUUAUCCUGCUAGGGACUGCCAAAUUUGUUUGAAGAUGCUGUUAUAAAUUUGAUAAAUUAGGAAGUUUUAAGGACAUGUGAUGAUCAGUUAUGCUGGCGAAGCCCUUCUUUGCAGUGUUGAAGAAUGUUAACUUGAAAAGGGAGCCUUGGAGCAACGGUUGAGUUGUCUCCAUGUGACCUCAAGGUCACGGGUUCAAGAUGUGAAUGUAAUUAUCAAGUUGGGAUACGUACAUUACAUCCUUUUGGUGCGACCCUUCCUCGGACCCUGUGUUAACGUGGGUUACUUGUGCAUUGGGCUGUCCUUUUUAUAUUUAUAUAAUUCAUUCAGAUUGGCAGGGACAUACAAUGUUGUCUGUGUUCUAAUAAAAUGAUGUAAUUUAUAUUUUAAACUUGUGUGCUUAGAUAAUCUUCAGUUUUAGUUUAGCACUCACCUGAAAACAGAUUAUUGUUCAGGAUCUUCAAGUACUCAUUGUCAUAAAUAUAAAAGUAGAAGCCUCAUCCAUGUUUUUUCUUUCUUGUCCACUCAAUUACUGAAGAGAAAGAUGCAAGAUGCUAGCUC
This is a non-coding RNA of Arachis ipaensis, 602 nucleotides long. NCBI's taxonomy places the organism in Eukaryota, Viridiplantae, Streptophyta, Magnoliopsida, Fabales, Fabaceae. The record is from RefSeq and is a predicted model, not a curated record.